ACAUUAAUACCAGCAGUGCAGCAGCCUCGUCGAAGCAAAAAUUGGGCUAUGAGCGCCAAUGAUUUCCCAGAGCAGAAUGUGAAAAUAUAGUCGCCACACUAUGGACUAGUUUGAUCAUGUUUUCUUUUAUCUUAUCACAAAUGAUUUGGCUUUCAAAAUUAGGAUGUAAAUGAAUUGAAAAAUGUUAGAAGUUGCACAAGAGGCAGACACCCUUUCUAAGUUACGUAUCCAAGUUUGCCAUCAUAGUAAUUGUGUUUUUUUUUUUUCAUUCAAAAAAACGUUGGAAUCAAGUGGUGUCUUUUAGCAAUUAUUUGGAUUCCACCAAAAUGAAAUGGCAGAAUUCACCGGGUUUAAGCCCAAUCACC
Molecule: long non-coding RNA, 365 nt
Organism: Lycium ferocissimum
Lineage: Eukaryota; Viridiplantae; Streptophyta; Magnoliopsida; Solanales; Solanaceae
Exons: 2
Source: RefSeq, a predicted model, not a curated record